Molecule: non-coding RNA, 45 nt
Organism: Schistosoma margrebowiei
Lineage: Eukaryota; Metazoa; Platyhelminthes; Trematoda; Strigeidida; Schistosomatidae
Source: Rfam
AUUCAGCUGACGAGUCCCGAAUAGGAUGAAAUACACGUCAUGGAU